Cladorrhinum sp. PSN332 is the source of this 91-nucleotide non-coding RNA. NCBI's taxonomy places the organism in Eukaryota, Fungi, Ascomycota, Sordariomycetes, Sordariales, Podosporaceae. The record is from the annotation of a GenBank genome assembly.
GGGCCGCUGGUCUAGUGGUAUGAUUCUCGCUUAGGGUUCACUCUAAUCAUUUGCUUGCGAGAGGUCCCGGGUUCAAUCCCCGGGUGGCCCC